UCACCUCACAGUAAUAGACUGGUAAGCGCGCGGCAAGAUGAGCCGUGAGGACAGGCGCGCCGUGGACGCCCGGCGACGGGUGGAGCGGACGCGCGCUGAAGCGCGAGGGCUUGCCUGG
RNAcentral lists this ribosomal RNA (118 nucleotides) under Chloroflexota bacterium. RNAcentral describes it as "Chloroflexi bacterium (rhizosphere metagenome) partial 23S ribosomal RNA". It matches the Rfam family "Bacterial large subunit ribosomal RNA", at positions 2809 to 2925 of the family's 2925-position model. Lineage: Bacteria; Bacillati; Chloroflexota. The record is from RNAcentral.